AAUGGGGGAAACCCUGACGCAGCAACGCCGCGUGGGUGAUGAAGGCCUUCGGGUCGUAAAGCCCUGUCGGGAGGGAAGAAAUGAUUGAGAGCUAAUACCUCUUGGUCUUGACGGUACCUCCGAAGGAAGCACCGGCUAACUCCGUGCCAGCAGCCGCGGUAAUACGGAGGGUGCAAGCGUUGUUCGGAAUUAUUGGGCGUAAAGCGCGUGUAGGCGGUUUGCUCAGUCUGAUGUGAAAUGCCUGGGCUCAACCUGGGAAGUGCAUUGGAUGCUGGCAGACUUGAGUACGGGAGAGGGUAGUGGAAUUCCCAGUGUAGGAGUGAAAUCCGUAGAUAUUAGGAGGAACACCGGUGGCGAAGGCGGCUCUCUGGACCGAUACUGACGCUGAGACGCGAAAGCGUGGGUAGCAAA
This 411-nucleotide ribosomal RNA is filed under the name uncultured bacterium. Its description in RNAcentral is "bacterial SSU rRNA". It matches the Rfam family "Bacterial small subunit ribosomal RNA", at positions 370 to 772 of the family's 1533-position model. The record is from RNAcentral.